RNAcentral lists this ribosomal RNA (1550 nucleotides) under Pectobacterium versatile. RNAcentral's name for it is "bacterial SSU rRNA". It matches the Rfam family "Bacterial small subunit ribosomal RNA". Lineage: Bacteria; Pseudomonadati; Pseudomonadota; Gammaproteobacteria; Enterobacterales; Pectobacteriaceae. The record is from RNAcentral.
AAAUUGAAGAGUUUGAUCAUGGCUCAGAUUGAACGCUGGCGGCAGGCCUAACACAUGCAAGUCGAGCGGUAGCACAGGAGAGCUUGCUCUCUGGGUGACGAGCGGCGGACGGGUGAGUAAUGUCUGGGAAACUGCCUGAUGGAGGGGGAUAACUACUGGAAACGGUAGCUAAUACCGCAUAACCUCGCAAGAGCAAAGAGGGGGACCUUAGGGCCUCUCGCCAUCAGAUGUGCCCAGAUGGGAUUAGCUAGUAGGUGAGGUAAUGGCUCACCUAGGCGACGAUCCCUAGCUGGUCUGAGAGGAUGACCAGCCACACUGGAACUGAGACACGGUCCAGACUCCUACGGGAGGCAGCAGUGGGGAAUAUUGCACAAUGGGCGCAAGCCUGAUGCAGCCAUGCCGCGUGUGUGAAGAAGGCCUUCGGGUUGUAAAGCACUUUCAGCGAGGAGGAAGGCGGUAAGGUUAAUAACCUUAUCGAUUGACGUUACUCGCAGAAGAAGCACCGGCUAACUCCGUGCCAGCAGCCGCGGUAAUACGGAGGGUGCAAGCGUUAAUCGGAAUGACUGGGCGUAAAGCGCACGCAGGCGGUCUGUUAAGUUGGAUGUGAAAUCCCCGGGCUUAACCUGGGAACUGCAUUCAAAACUGACAGGCUAGAGUCUUGUAGAGGGGGGUAGAAUUCCAGGUGUAGCGGUGAAAUGCGUAGAGAUCUGGAGGAAUACCGGUGGCGAAGGCGGCCCCCUGGACAAAGACUGACGCUCAGGUGCGAAAGCGUGGGGAGCAAACAGGAUUAGAUACCCUGGUAGUCCACGCUGUAAACGAUGUCGAUUUGGAGGUUGUGCCCUUGAGGCGUGGCUUCCGGAGCUAACGCGUUAAAUCGACCGCCUGGGGAGUACGGCCGCAAGGUUAAAACUCAAAUGAAUUGACGGGGGCCCGCACAAGCGGUGGAGCAUGUGGUUUAAUUCGAUGCAACGCGAAGAACCUUACCUACUCUUGACAUCCAGAGAAUUAGCUAGAGAUAGCUGAGUGCCUUCGGGAACUCUGAGACAGGUGCUGCAUGGCUGUCGUCAGCUCGUGUUGUGAAAUGUUGGGUUAAGUCCCGCAACGAGCGCAACCCUUAUCCUUUGUUGCCAGCGAUUCGGUCGGGAACUCAAAGGAGACUGCCGGUGAUAAACCGGAGGAAGGUGGGGAUGACGUCAAGUCAUCAUGGCCCUUACGAGUAGGGCUACACACGUGCUACAAUGGCGUAUACAAAGAGAAGCGACCUCGCGAGAGCAAGCGGACCUCAUAAAGUACGUCGUAGUCCGGAUUGGAGUCUGCAACUCGACUCCAUGAAGUCGGAAUCGCUAGUAAUCGUAGAUCAGAAUGCUACGGUGAAUACGUUCCCGGGCCUUGUACACACCGCCCGUCACACCAUGGGAGUGGGUUGCAAAAGAAGUAGGUAGCUUAACCUUCGGGAGGGCGCUUACCACUUUGUGAUUCAUGACUGGGGUGAAGUCGUAACAAGGUAACCGUAGGGGAACCUGCGGUUGGAUCACCUCCUUACCAAGAAG